CUAGACAGGUGGGCCUCGAUCCCACAAAAACUCAGUUAACAGCCAAACACCCAAUCCAGUGGGCUUCUGUCCGCUUCUCCCGCUCAGUAAAACGGGAGA
Molecule: transfer RNA, 99 nt
Filed under: Enyalioides laticeps
Lineage: Eukaryota; Metazoa; Chordata; Lepidosauria; Squamata; Hoplocercidae
Description: tRNA-Asn
Source: RNAcentral